UCUACAGAAGAACGCAGAGAUGUGUUGUGCCUUCGGGAACUGUAAGACAGGUGCUGCAUGGCUGUCGUCAGCUCGUGUUGUGAAAUGUUCGGGUUAAGUCCCGCAACGAGCGCAACCCUUGUCCUUAGUUGCCAGCAUUCAGUUGGGCACUCUAAGGAGACUGCCGGUGUCAAACCGGAGGAAGGUGGGGAUGACGUCAAGUCCUCAUGGCCCUUAUGUCCAGGGCUACACACGUGCUACAAUGGCCGGUACAAAGGGGCGCAAGACCGCGAGGUGGAGCAAAUCCCAAAAAACCGGUCUCAGUUCGGAUUGGAGUCUGCAACUCGACUCCAUGAAGUUGGAAUCGCUAGUAAUCGCGUAUCAGCAUGACGCGGUGAAUACGUUCCCGGGCCUU
RNAcentral lists this ribosomal RNA (394 nucleotides) under uncultured Desulfuromonas sp. Its description in RNAcentral is "bacterial SSU rRNA". It matches the Rfam family "Bacterial small subunit ribosomal RNA", at positions 987 to 1382 of the family's 1533-position model. The record is from RNAcentral. Lineage: Bacteria; Pseudomonadati; Thermodesulfobacteriota; Desulfuromonadia; Desulfuromonadales; Desulfuromonadaceae.